CUUUAUCCUAGAUGCAUCACAUGUUGGUGUUGGAAAUAAGCCACACCCGGGCCAACGAUGGACUGGUCCAAGAGGGGCCAGUAGCUCAGUGGUAGAGCACUCCAGCAGCGUAUGGAAGGUCCUAGGUUCGAGUCCUAGCUGGUCCAUGUCUCAACAUAGUAUCAGAGCCAGGUCCAGGCUAAGAGCCCCAAGCACACGAGAGGUGUGGCUUAAGGGGGGGUUUUGGUGUUGGAAAUAAGCCACACCCGAACCAAUGAUGGACUGGUCCAAGAGGGGCCAGUAACUCAGUGGUAGAGCACUCCAGCAGUGUAUGGAAGGUCCUGGGCUCGCGUCCUAGCUGAUCCAUGUCUCAACAUCACAUUGUCAGUCUUUGAACCAAGAAUCCGUGGACUUAGUGAUUGAGAUAAAAUGUUCACUUUUUUAAGAAAUGGCUGGAUCUUCGCCAGUGAUUCAGUGACAGAAACGAAUUGGUAGCACUACCUGUUGAUUGUGUUCAAUGAUGAGAUUGAUGGGCUCCUGCACACUGCCUAGCAUACACGAUUUCAUGGUGAAAGCGGAAUUGUGGGCAUUGAUGGUGAUUGAUUGACGAUUAGCAGAGUGGUCCUGGUCCUGUUUUGCAGGGAAGAAAAAGAAGCAGAAGUGCAUUGGACAAUCUGCAACCGGUGUUUGCCUUCUGGUAAACUUGCCUUCAAGAAUUAGAAACAAGGAUGGCGGAAAGUAAUCGUAGCAGAAAGUUCUAGGUUGUGUAUGUGUAGGCAGGGGAUUUGGAGAAAAGAGAGGAGAAAAUAUGGCAUUCUUUCCUCCAACUUUUACACACCUGUGCUUGCAUACUUGCCAACAAUGGAACAGUCCAAUUAUUUGCAUUUGCUCUUUAUAGCCUAAUGGCCCUAAACAAAUGUGAAUUGUUCACAAUUCAGUCUUUUCGUACAUAUAUUGUUGGAUUAGUUCAGGGACAGAAAUUGGGGUAAUUCGUUAAGUCAAUUCUUUCCAAGUGAUUACACAGGAGGAUGAAUGGGAAACAGGAGAAAAGAUGAUUUGGCAACACUGACUGAUCACACAGGUGGGUUCAAGAGGUUAUUCUCAAUUGCUGGCAGACAUUUGUAAACUGCUUUAAGGAAUUCUCCCUGCAUGACGUGGAUAAUCAUAUAUCCAAUUCCAAGAGGAGCUCAUGGAAAAUUCCAUAAGUUAUGCAAAAAAGAAGAAGAAAGGUUCUGGAGCAGCUUCAACAAAUCAAAUAACCAUUUUUUACAAUUUUAGCAUGAUCACAUGUCUACUCAAUGAAUUUUGUAAUAUAGUGUAGACAAGUUAAGAAACCUAUGUGAAUUUCAACAUGUUCAUAGGUCUAGUCAUUGUAAAUUUGUAAUAUAGUUGUCCUUGCUAUUAAUAGUUUUAUUUUGUAUUGAUUGCCUUA
Cryptomeria japonica (Japanese cedar) is the source of this 1411-nucleotide long non-coding RNA. RefSeq lists it as uncharacterized. The transcript is spliced from 3 exons. The record is from RefSeq and is a predicted model, not a curated record. Lineage: Eukaryota; Viridiplantae; Streptophyta; Pinopsida; Cupressales; Cupressaceae.